Molecule: transfer RNA, 74 nt
Filed under: bacterium
Lineage: Bacteria
Description: tRNA-Gly
Rfam family: tRNA
About the family: Transfer RNA (tRNA) molecules are approximately 80 nucleotides in length.
Source: RNAcentral
GCGGGCGUAGUUCAAUGGUAGAACACGAGCCUUCCAAGCUCGGUAUGUGAGUUCGAUUCUCAUCGCCCGCUCUA